GUGGGGAAUAUUGCGCAAUGGGGGAAACCCUGACGCAGCAACGCCGCGUGAAGGAUGAAGGCUUUCGGGUUGUAAACUUCUUUAGUCGGGGACGAAUGGAUGACGGUACCCGAAGAAUAAGCCACGGCUAACUACGUGCCAGCAGCCGCGGUAAUACGUAGGUGGCAAGCGUUGUCCGGAAUUACUGGGUGUAAAGGGCGUGUAGGCGGGUUAUUAAGUCAGAUGUGAAAUUCCAGAGCUCAACUCUGGCGCUGCAUCUGAAACUGAUGAUCUUGAGUACUGGAGAGGGAAGCGGAAUUCCUAGUGUAGCGGUGAAAUGCGUAGAUAUUAGGAGGAACACCAGUGGCGAAGGCGGCUUUCUGGACAGUAACUGACGCUGAGGCGCGAAAGCGUGGGGAGCGAACAGGAUUAGAAACCCCGGUAGUCC
This 427-nucleotide ribosomal RNA is filed under the name uncultured bacterium. Its description in RNAcentral is "bacterial SSU rRNA". It matches the Rfam family "Bacterial small subunit ribosomal RNA", at positions 354 to 796 of the family's 1533-position model. The record is from RNAcentral.